AAAGAUGCCCUCUCUUUUGCAAUGGUGAAGAAGAAGAAAGAAUGAAGCACCUAAUACUCAAAUUGCUAGCAUGAUAAUGGUGUGGCUGGACACCAUCUGAGGGACUUGACCCCAGGGAGGAUAAUCUUGUGAUCACUAAGUCCCAGCAAAUUAGAUGUUGCUAAUCUUAUAUUGUGAUUAAAGACAUGAGAGUGCAAAGUUUCAUUCUCAAGUCGUUAGCCUGUAAACAUAAAGAGGGUCAGAAGUUUUAUCCUCAGACUGCAUCAGCAUCAAUAUGUAUUCCACAAAGUAUGGUCACUAUAAUUUAGACAAAAGCA
RNAcentral lists this long non-coding RNA (317 nucleotides) under Elaeis guineensis (African oil palm). RNAcentral's name for it is "long non-coding RNA (EGUI_LNC021798)". The record is from RNAcentral. Lineage: Eukaryota; Viridiplantae; Streptophyta; Magnoliopsida; Arecales; Arecaceae.